GGGGAAAGGGAAUGGGAGGAGACCACAAAAUUCGUGACAUGAUACAUAAAACGUUAACUAUCUAUUAGCUUUGCAUCUUUUGAGAGUCACCAGAUUGGAGCACAGAAUUUUGAAUUUGGCUGGCAGAUGGUGUACACAGACUUUCUGAGUGUGUUAGCAUUUCAUUUCAAACUAGCAAGAUUACAUAGGACUCUCACGGUAAUUUAACAUUCAUAGAGAUUUUUAAAUUUAUCCCUAAACCUAGGUUAAAUCUGGGACCCAAAUAGCGUUUUAGAAGGCUUUGUUAAUAGAUCUGGAUCUCAUAGAACAGAUUCACAGGAUAUAGUAAUUCCUCCAAAAUGCCCACGGAGUUAGCGUCAAUGGUUUCUUUCUCUGAAAAUCCGGAUUACCCAAAAGAAAAGAGGCCCAAGGGAAGAAAGACUAAACCAGGGGAGAUGGCAGGUAGUGAUGUCUGGAUUCCUUGAAUGGGACUUCUCCAUUUACUACCCCUCUCAUUUCCUUCUAUGGUCUGGACCUUUAAACACCACAGCAGUCAGCCUUGUAGGGUCAAGCUAAUCUCUGUUGACAUCAUCCUACUACUUCCCUUUUCAAAUUCCAGUGAAGCUGCGUGUUUCCUGUCCUAUUUGACACCCUCGAGAAAGAAUACUGGCCGGCUGGUAUCUAAAUUUAGACUGGCAGCAACGAGUUUUCAGAGAAGAGAUAAACAAAAACAGGUGACAUUUCCAAGCCUCCCAAGAAAAGGGGAAAAAACCCCAAACCCUUUUGGGGACAGCUUCGGGGGCGUCCCUAAACACAUUCUGGACUCUGCUCGGAAACCCGACGAGCCCGAGCCUGACAGCCCGUCCUCAGCGGGAGCUGUGAAGGCAGCCGCACCUCCUCUUUGUCAAGCCGCGGGUUUCAAACACCGGCCCCGGGCCCCCCACCGGCUGGGAGAGGGCGGACGCCCGCCGCCCUUCCGCGGCCGCCCCUCCCCCACUCUGUGACCCCCGCGGGCCCAGCCCCGGGCGACCUGUUGGCAGGGAGCGUCACGUGACGCGGCGGCCGCACACUCCCCCCGGGCCGGCCUCCUGUUGCGCCCGCCGGGCGGGUUCCAUCACGUAACGCGCGGCCGCCGGCCCG
This 1119-nucleotide long non-coding RNA is filed under the name Equus caballus (horse). RNAcentral's name for it is "lncRNA (ENSECAG00000058939.1)". The record is from RNAcentral. Lineage: Eukaryota; Metazoa; Chordata; Mammalia; Perissodactyla; Equidae.